RNAcentral lists this ribosomal RNA (994 nucleotides) under Plasmodium inui. Its description in RNAcentral is "SSU rRNA". It matches the Rfam family "Eukaryotic small subunit ribosomal RNA", at positions 162 to 1081 of the family's 1831-position model. The record is from RNAcentral. Lineage: Eukaryota; Apicomplexa; Aconoidasida; Haemosporida; Plasmodiidae.
AGCUAAUACUUGCUUUAGCACUCUUGAUUAAGUUCUUGAGUGUGUACUUGUUAAGCCUUUUAAGAAAAAAGUUAUUAACUUAAGGAAUUAUAACAAAGAAGCAACACGUAAAUGGAUUUUCCAUUUUUUAGUGUGUAUCAAUCGAGUUUCUGACCUAUCAGCUUUUGAUGUUAGGGUAUUGGCCUAACAUGGCUAUGACGGGUAACGGGGAAUUAGAGUUCGAUUCCGGAGAGGGAGCCUGAGAAAUAGCUACCACAUCUAAGGAAGGCAGCAGGCGCGUAAAUUACCCAAUUCUAAAGAAGAGAGGUAGUGACAAGAAAUAACAAUACAAGGCCAAUCUGGCUUUGUAAUUGGAAUGAUGAGAAUUUAAAACCUUCCCAAAACUCAAUUGGAGGGCAAGUCUGGUGCCAGCAGCCGCGGUAAUUCCAGCUCCAAUAGCGUAUAUUAAAAUUGUUGCAGUUAAAACGCUCGUAGUUGAAUUUCAAAGAAUCGAUAUUUUAAGUAGCACUUUGUAGAUUAAUCCACAUAACUGAUACUACGUAUCGACUUUGUGCGCAUUUUUCUACUUAUGUGUUCUUUUAAUUAAAAUGAUUCUUUUUAAGAUCUUUCUUUUUUGCUUCGGCAUUUUAGGAGAUCUUGUUACUUUGAGUAAAUUAGAGUGUUCAAAGCAAACAGAUUAUAGCAUCUUUAUGCGUUUGAAUACUACAGCAUGGAAUAACAAAAUUGAACAAGUCAGAAUUUUGUUCUUUUUUUUUAUUUUGGCUUAGUUACGAUUAAUAAGAGUAGCUUGGGGGCAUUUGUAUUCAGAUGUCAGAGGUGAAAUUCUUAGAUUUUCUGGAGACAAACAACUGCGAAAGCAUUUGCCUAAAAUACUUCCAUUAAUCAAGAACGAAAGUUAAGGGAGUGAAGACGAUCAGAUACCGUCGUAAUCUUAACCAUAAACUAUGCCGACUAGGCUUUGGAUGAAAGAUUUUAAAAUAAGAGUUUUUUCUCU